RNAcentral lists this ribosomal RNA (1604 nucleotides) under metagenome. RNAcentral's name for it is "bacterial LSU rRNA". It matches the Rfam family "Bacterial large subunit ribosomal RNA", at positions 1333 to 2925 of the family's 2925-position model. The record is from RNAcentral.
CACGCCGAAAGCCCAAGGUUUCCUCGCGCAACGUUCAUCGGCGCAGGGUGAGUCGGCCCCUAAGGCGAGGCAGAAAUGCGUAGUCGAUGGGAAGCUGGUUAAUAUUCCAGCACUUGACUGUAGUGCGAUGUGGGGACGGAGAAGGUUAGGUCUACCAGGCGUUGGUUGUCCUGGGGAAAGGCGGUAGGCAUGGGUCUUAGGCAAAUCCGGGACCCUUUAUGCCGAGCACCGAGACGAGCCCUAUUGGGCGAAGUGACUGAGACCACGCUUCCAGGAAAAGCCACUAAGCUUCAGCUACAGCAAACCGUACCGUAAACCGACACUGGUAGGCAGGGUGAGAAUCCCAAGGCGCUUGAGAGAACUCGGGUGAAGGAACUAGGCAAAAUGGCACCGUAACUUCGGGAGAAGGUGCGCCCUCCGGCGUGGUCACGUGCGUGACUGAGCGCUAGAGGGUCGCAGUAACCUGGCCGCUGCGACUGUUUAUCAAAAACACAGCACUCUGCAAACACGAAAGUGGACGUAUAGGGUGUGACGCCUGCCCGGUGCUGGAAGGUUAAUUGAUGGGGUCAGCCGCAAGGCGAAGCUCUUGAUCGAAGCCCCAGUAAACGGCGGCCGUAACUAUAACGGUCCUAAGGUAGCGAAAUUCCUUGUCGGGUAAGUUCCGACCUGCACGAAUGGCGUAACGACAGCGGCGCUGUCUCCACCCGAGACUCAGUGAAAUUGAAAUCGCUGUGAAGAUGCAGCGUUCCCGCGGCAAGACGGAAAGACCCCGUGAACCUUUACUAUAGCUUUACACUGAACGUUGAGUUCUUCUGUGUAGGAUAGGUGGGAGGCUUUGAAGUGCAGGCGCUAGCUUGCAUGGAGCCAACCUUGAAAUACCACCCUGAAGUGCUUGACGUUCUAACCUAGGCCCGUAAUCCGGGUCGGGGACCGUGUAUGGUGGGUAGUUUGACUGGGGCGGUCUCCUCCCAAAGCGUAACGGAGGAGCACGAAGGUACGCUCAGCGCGGUCGGACAUCGCGCACUGUGUGCAAAGGCAUAAGCGUGCUUGACUGCGAGAUCGACGGAUCAAGCAGGUACGAAAGUAGGUCUUAGUGAUCCGGUGGUUCUGUAUGGAAGGGCCAUCGCUCAACGGAUAAAAGGUACUCCGGGGAUAACAGGCUGAUACCGCCCAAGAGUUCAUAUCGACGGCGGUGUUUGGCACCUCGAUGUCGGCUCAUCACAUCCUGGGGCUGUAGCCGGUCCCAAGGGUAUGGCUGUUCGCCAUUUAAAGUGGUACGCGAGCUGGGUUCAGAACGUCGUGAGACAGUUCGGUCCCUAUCUGUCGUGGGCGUUGGAGAUUUGAGAGGGGCUGCUCCUAGUACGAGAGGACCGGAGUGGACGAACCUCUGGUGUUCCGGUUGUCACGCCCGUGGCAUUGCCGGGUAGCUACGUUCGGAAGCGAUAACCGCUGAAAGCAUCUAAGCGGGAAGCGCGCCUCAAGAUGAGACAUCCCGGAGAGUAAUCUCCCUAAAGGAACCAUGAAGACUACGUGGUUGAUAGGUCAGGUGUGUAUCGCAGUAAUGCCGAGCUAACUGAUACUAAUGAUCCGUGCGGCUUGAUCAU